AUACGGAGGGGGUUAGCGUUGUUCGGAAUUACUGGGCGUAAAGCGUACGUAGGCGGACUGGAAAGUUGGGGGUGAAAUCCCGGGGCUCAACCCCGGAACUGCCUCCAAAACUUCCAAUCUAGAGAUCGAGAGAGGUGAGUGGAAUUCCAAGUGUAGAGGUGAAAUUCGUAGAUAUUUGGAGGAACACCAGUGGCGAAGGCGGCUCACUGGCUCGAUACUGACGCUGAGGUACGAAAGCGUGGGGAGCAAACAGGAUUAGAAACCCGGGUAGUCC
Molecule: ribosomal RNA, 274 nt
Filed under: uncultured bacterium
Lineage: Bacteria
Description: partial 16S ribosomal RNA
Rfam family: Bacterial small subunit ribosomal RNA
Source: RNAcentral